ACGCUCCGAGCGAGCCCCUCUAAGGCCCCGCGCAGGCGGCGGUAUCGAGAGGCCCGCCGACAGGGUUCCGCUGGAAACGGCGGAGCCUCCCGGUUGCAUGGAAAGGAGCGCUGG
RNAcentral lists this non-coding RNA (114 nucleotides) under Candidatus Tectimicrobiota. RNAcentral's name for it is "Candidatus Tectomicrobia MoCo sequence". It matches the Rfam family "Molybdenum/Tungsten riboswitch aptamer (Moco RNA motif)", at positions 10 to 125 of the family's 135-position model. Lineage: Bacteria; Pseudomonadati. The record is from RNAcentral.